RNAcentral lists this transfer RNA (72 nucleotides) under Camelus bactrianus (Bactrian camel). It matches the Rfam family "tRNA". Rfam says of the family: Transfer RNA (tRNA) molecules are approximately 80 nucleotides in length. Lineage: Eukaryota; Metazoa; Chordata; Mammalia; Artiodactyla; Camelidae. The record is from Rfam by way of RNAcentral. RNAcentral also lists the same sequence under 2 other names.
GAGAGUAUAGCUCAGUGGUAGAGCACAUGCUUAGUAUGCACAAGGUCCUGGGUUCAAUCCCCAGGACCUUCA